RNA transcript from Zingiber officinale, 4492 nucleotides. It is a transcript of the gene named RNA polymerase II C-terminal domain phosphatase-like 2, with no coding region annotated. The record is from RefSeq and is a predicted model, not a curated record. NCBI's taxonomy places the organism in Eukaryota, Viridiplantae, Streptophyta, Magnoliopsida, Zingiberales, Zingiberaceae. The transcript has 12 exons.
UAGAACGCAAGGGCUAGUGUAGAAAUCUUAUACAACGGAGCAAUUUUCACCAUCGUAGCAACGUUUGCUUCCACGGGCGACUGAAACGUCGUUCCCAUCGACCCAAAUCGAUCGAUCGAUCGAAGACUUGAAAACCACGUUGCUUCGGGUCGGCAGGCCUUAGGGAACACCGGCGCGAACAAACCCUAGUUUAUUCCCUCUCUCUCAUUUCAUCAUACGCCUACGGGGCAUCGCCCUCAUCGAGAACGCGUUCUCGUACCAUUCCAUAUCCGUCUGCCUGCGGCUCGUUGUGUGUUUGUCGUCGACGCGAUGACAAGUCGUCGGGCAGGGAUUAGCUGCAAGGUGUACCACGGAGAUGUUUUCCUUGGAGACGCGGAAGCUUUUCCGACGACCAACACUAGCGGCGGUAAUGCCCAACCCUUGCCCUUCCUCAGUGGCAACGAGAUACGCAUAGAUCACCUCUCGCCUCCCAGCGAGCGUUGCCCUCCCCUCUCCGUCCUCCAAAGCAUCAACCCUUUCGCCGUCCGCUGCAAGGUCCAAGCCAAGUCGGUCGCUGAACACCCACUUCGUCGCCUCUACCUCUCAUGCUUUAACGAAUUCAGGAGUGCCGUCAUGGUCACGGGUAAUGAAGAGCUGCAUCUGGUGGCAAUGCCGAGCAAGGUGGAGAAGGUAUCUUGCUUUUGGUGCUGUUCGGUUCAGGCCGGGCUAUAUGCAUCUUGUUUGGGCAUGCUCAACUUGCGGUGCCUUGCCAUUGUUUUUGAUCUAGAUGAGACGCUCAUAGUUGCCAACACCAUGAGAUCAUUUGAUGACAGAAUUGAGGCCCUCUCUCGAAAGAUAGAUGGUGAGAAAGAUCCUAUUAGGAUUUCAGGAAUGUCAGCUGAAUUGAAGCGAUAUGUUGAGGACAAAGAUUUCUUGAAGCAGUAUAUAGAGAUGGAUACUGUUACUGACAAUGGGAGGUCAAUUACUGCUCAGAACGAGGAAGUUCCACCAAUUCCUGGUGUCCAGGAGAGAAUUACUCGGCCUGUCAUCAGAAUGAAAGAAAGGAACAUCGUCUUGACUCGGAUCAAUCCCGAGAACCAUGAUACUAGUGUUUUUGUAAGGCUAAGGCCUGCAUGGGAGGAUCUAAGGAGCUACCUAACUGCUAAAGGGCGACGAAGAUUUGAAGUUUUUGUCUGCACAAUGGCUGAAAGAGACUAUGCUCUGGAGAUUUGGAGGCUUCUUGAUCCAGAUUCUCAUUUGAUCAGUUCGAAACAACUUAUGGAUCGCAUAGUAUGUGUAAAAUCAGGUUUGAGGAAAUCAUUGCAACAUGUUUUCCAGGAUAAUGUGUGCCAUCCUCGAAUGGCUAUGGUGAUUGAUGACCGAUUGCAGGUUUGGGAUGACAAAGACCAGCCUCACGUUCAUGUUGUCCCUGCAUAUACUCCAUAUUAUGCUCCUCAAGCAGAGAUGGCCAAUGCUGUUCCGGUAUUAUGUGUUGCAAGAAAUGUUGCAUGUAAUGUUCGAGGUGGCUUUUUCAAAGAAUUCGAUGAGAAUUUACUACAGAAGGUAUUUGAACUGAAUUAUGAGAAUGAGAUAGUUGAGUUACCUGGUGCUCCUGAUGUGAGCUACUACUUAAUCGCUGAGGAUUGUAAUAAUUUACAAAACAACAAUAGAGAAGCUCCUAUAGUUGAGGGAACAAUUGGUUCUGAAACAGAACAUAGAUUCAAUCAACUGGUACCUUAUUUAUUCUCUAACUUUUUUUGCUUUACCAUAUUCUUCCUUUUAGAUGGUUGUCAGUUUUGGGACGUCCAAUUUCAUAAUGCUCAGGCUUCAUUUGUGUGCCAGUUAGGGUAUACAAUUUAUCUAUGAAGUUUUAUGUUCAAAUCUAUGCACGUUUUUGCAUGAAUAUACAUGCAAGUCAUAUACUAGCAUGUAUAACUUUGUGUUGAUUCCAGUCUGAUUUGUUGGACAUUGAUUGCAUUUUUAAUAUAUCUUGUGUUGAUCUGUAAUCCUCUUAAGUGCUUUAACUGUUUAAUCCAUGAAAUUUCAUUCUAUGCUAAAAUUUUCUCUCUGUAUUGUCUGAUGUCAUCGAUGCAUGCUACAUUAAUGAAAAUGACCAUCAAUUAUAGUUAAGUAGUUCUCUCUCUGCCUUUAUAUUUCCACUUAUUAAAGUUCUAUAUAAGCAUUUUGGUUGACAUAGGACAAUUUGACAUUGUCACAUCAAAUGCCACAUGAACUAAAAAAAUUUUAGCCCAAACAACCUAAUAACAUACCUUAACCUACAAUCAGAAAUAGCAUAAAAAGCAUGGCCAAAUUGGUAACCAAUCUGGAAAUGGUGGUGAAAAGGGCAACAAUAGGAGUGAGCACAGGUGUGCACAGUGGGUCAACAAUAAAUGUGUAUGUACUUAGAUUCCUCAGAUAAGUCUAUCAGUAUUUAUCUACUUAAAUCAAGUGAAUCUUAUAGCCAAGAGGCCCAAGACUAUCAACCAUAUGAGCGUAUCAUCUGAUAAUGAGUUAAAGCACUACAAUAAUGGGCUGGUUCCCCAAUAGAGGCAAAUAAGUUGAAGCUUCACUCGAUGCACUUGGUGGAAGCCACAACUGAUGAUAAAUAAAAGGACUGAAGCCCCAAAGUGUGAAUAGGCUGAAGCUACUUUGAACCAUGUACAAGGCAUAUCUGGUUGAUGAACAACAAGCAAAACAUCAAGCUCAAUUGAAUCACUCUUCUACAGGUAAGUUCUCUAGGUUUUGGUUUUCUUGUUUGUAAAUGAAUGCUCAUCUAGUUGUAUUUCUUUUUUUCAAUAUUUAUCAUGGAAACCAAGAGCAAAUGAGAUUUCACAGCAGAGAUUAUUUGUUCUGUUAAUUUGCUACAGUUUGCUUUCAUUUAUGUGCUUAUAAUGGUUGAGACACAAGACAUCACUAAACAAUGAUCCAAGGAAAAGUGUAAAAGGGAAGAUGAUUAAGGUCUUGAAAAAUCAAACAAUAUCCCUGUUUAAGAUCUGAUUUUGGAUAUAUAUAUAUAUAUAGAGAGGAGUGAUCUCCUGAGCGAUGCCCCGUGCGCAACGCUCAAAUUCUGUCUUACAAAAUUUGGGAGGAGUUGCUAUGCUUAUCAUGCGAACCAAAUGUGCUCACUGUUUGUUCAAGUUGAAAAUAUAGAGUUCUCUAGAUUAGCAGAUACUUUUUCAUAGUAGCAUAACUUUACUGUUCGACUGCUUUAACAUUCUUGUUGUUGCCUGAACUGCAAGACUUCAUGUUUUACUCCCAUAAUUACUUUGUUUACUCUUUUCUAUUUCCUCGUUUUUUUUUAAUGCUAAAAUAUAUGACAUUGAAGAAAUUCUCUCCUUCAAAAGUAUUUCCAUGGUCCUUGUUCAAGGAUGAUGCAUGUUUAUUAGCAUGCAUGAAGAGCACCUUUAGUUUAAGAAAUUUGCGCCAAUCUGAAUAUAUUGGAUGGAUGAAUAAUUAAUUAUCUUUAUAAGUUUGCAUUGAAUUGCAAAGCUAUAUGAAUUUUAUUACAAUAUAUCUAUCACUCUGAGUUAUGGUGUAUUCUUUUUGUUCCACUUGUUUUGCUUCUGAUAAAGAUGAUGAGAUGCCAGUAAAUAUCACUUCUGCAAACAACAAAAAAUUGAAUGUGGAAGUAAGACAGCCAAUCUCACUUGCGUCAUCAGUUUUUGUUUCUGUACUGCAAGAGAUUGGUAGAAGAUGUGACUCAAAGAUUGAGUUCAAGUUUACCAAUGGAAAUACAAAGGAGUUGCCCCAUUCUGUUGAGGUUUUAUUUAGUAGUGAAAGAAUUGGUAUGGGGAUGGGAAGGACACUGAAAGAUGCUCAAUCACAAGCUGCUGAGAAUGCACUUCGUAAUCUGGCCAGAGAUUAUGUAUCAUUUAUUGGACCUCUUACUGGUGGCAUGGGAGCUGAAAUCAAUAAGAAUUUGCUUGGAAAUGAGAAUGGCUUCUUAAAGGGGAAUUUCAACUCUCAGGAUACAGCUAAGAAAGAAAACUGACUUGCUGCCAGCACAGCACAAAAUACGUAACUGAGCUUUCACAAGAUGCUCCACUGGUGGUUUCGAUGCAAGUUUCUUGUUACCUAGUGCAAAAAUGUUUGGACGAUGAUGAUAUGGUACCAGUUCUUAUAGCCUGAGGGAUCUCACCCACUUAGCUCCCUCUGAGUUGAUCCAUAUGGGAACUGAACAUAUGUCUACGAAGUACUGGAGGGAUGUGACUUGGCCAUUACUUUUGAAAAGUUACUUCCUUGAUCACUAAGUGGUGCACAUUUAUAUACCUGUGAGUUGAUGGAAAGAGCACUUUAAUUGCGAAUUUUGUCCCAGUAGGCUGUGCAUAGUGGCUAAUUUCAGCAUUGAAAUCAAAAGCACAUGGUUUGUGAUGACAACCACGGAUUUAUCCAGAGUUUAAAGUCCUGUUCUUAGGUAAGAAAAAUUACCUGUUAUGUAUGAAAUGAUUUCGUUACAGUGGAAUGAUAUUAUCCGGCAAGCUGUCCAAGCAGUGAAUCCUUGUUUUAUCUUUCU